This 73-nucleotide transfer RNA is filed under the name Pythium insidiosum. Its description in RNAcentral is "tRNA-Cys". It matches the Rfam family "tRNA". Rfam says of the family: Transfer RNA (tRNA) molecules are approximately 80 nucleotides in length. Their secondary structure includes four short double-helical elements and three loops (D, anti-codon, and T loops). Further hydrogen bonds mediate the characteristic L-shaped molecular structure. tRNAs have two regions of fundamental functional importance: the anti-codon, which is responsible for specific mRNA codon recognition, and the 3' end, to which the tRNAs corresponding amino acid is attached (by aminoacyl-tRNA synthetases). tRNAs cope with the degeneracy of the genetic code in two manners: having more than one tRNA (with a specific anti-codon) for a particular amino acid; and 'wobble' base-pairing, i.e. permitting non-standard base-pairing at the 3rd anti-codon position. The record is from RNAcentral. Lineage: Eukaryota; Oomycota; Peronosporomycetes; Pythiales; Pythiaceae.
GCGCGGGUAGCUCAGUGGUAGAGCUUUCGAUUGCAGCUCGAAGGGUCACUGGUUCGAACACCGGUCUCGCGCU